AGUGAUUAUUAAUCGGACCAGAUCUGUUGCUUAGCUGGUGGAUUGGUCCAAUCGUAGAAAACAUGCGUAAGAACAGAUAAAUCGAAAAAGAGCGCAAUACACAUACUUUCAUACAUAUUGCUUCAUAGUUGGAUUGAUUCAGCAACUCAUCCAACUAAAAAUUAUACAUCAAAUUCAUGCCUACACUAUCAUGCAGAACUUGCAGAUAUAUUAUUUCCAGCGGGUCAUACACAUACUUGUACAUGAUGGCAAAGAAAGAGAGAAGGGAAGAGCUUAUGUGAAGUCCAAGCAAAUUGCUUAGCUUCAUUUUAAAACAACCCCCUCUCUCCUCUUUCU
Molecule: long non-coding RNA, 336 nt
Filed under: Phoenix dactylifera (date palm)
Lineage: Eukaryota; Viridiplantae; Streptophyta; Magnoliopsida; Arecales; Arecaceae
Description: long non-coding RNA (PDAC_LNC003836)
Source: RNAcentral